This is a long non-coding RNA of Panicum virgatum (switchgrass), 1721 nucleotides long. RefSeq lists it as uncharacterized. The record is from RefSeq and is a predicted model, not a curated record. The transcript is spliced from 2 exons. NCBI's taxonomy places the organism in Eukaryota, Viridiplantae, Streptophyta, Magnoliopsida, Poales, Poaceae.
GUGGGUUUUGAGAUUCGCGCUUUCUCUCCCCCGGGGGUGUAUUCACACCGUAUUCUAGUUUUUGCGUGGACGGGGUAUUUCCCCUGUGGGGCCCAAGAGUCACGAGUGCGCUCGCACUUCCCACACGGCGGCUUCCUCGCUCGGCUGACUGCAGCAUCUGCCCGCUCCACGAGGCUUCUUCCCCUUCGCGUCCGGCGUUCAUCCGCCGCACGCUUCAGUUGGCGGCGAGAUCCAUCUGCACAGUUGGCCUCCGAUUAGCCUGCGGCCAGUUCGGCACCCCCAGGUCAGGUGCCGACUGCCGAGCCCCCCCCCCCCCCCCCCCGCCGCCCGUGAACCUCCAGACGGCACCCAACGCGGCAGGAAACCCUAGAGCUGAGGGAGAGCCGGCGAGGGUGCGAAUCCCGCAUCCAAGCUCGAUGGAGGUCGCCAGUCACCCACCAUCCGGGAGUCCUUCCUGGUUGCUGGCGCGCCUGGAUGGACGGAGGAGACAAGGAAGACCGGUGCGCCUGGAUGGACGGAGGAGACAAGGAAGACCGGUGCGCCUGGAUGGACGGAGGGGACAAGGAGGACGCAGCUCGGGAGGUACUUUUUGGUGCCUAAGCGAAGGAACCAAAUCCAGCGGAUAUGAGUUUCUGAGUGCUGUUUUUCCCUCUCUUUUUUUGGUUGGAGAUGCCUCUUGGACGGGGGCAAUCGGCAGGAAAUGAUGGAUCUGUUGUUGGAUGCUGCAGUUUCUGCUCGAAGGCAUUCAGUUGGUAUACACCCAUUAUUUAGAAGGUGCUACUAGUACUGCCUCUCUCCUCCUAGAGCCGUCACUGUGCUGCCGAACACCCGUGCCCCGCCGAUGCCCUCGCCACCAACACCAAGGACGCCGACCUCUCCACCAAGUAAGUAAUUUGCCACCUUUCUUUAGAUCCAGAUCCUUCCCCAACUCCAUCUGUGCCCGUUGGUGAAGGGGGCGAGGAUUUACCACGCGAUUUGGAUCUGUACUAUGAGAAGAAGGUCCUUUCUGAACCAUCCUCAUCUAUCUCUGGUGCUUUUCCCCCAGGUUUGUUUUUCGAUUUAAAUUUAUCUGUUGAUUUCACCGCAAUCAAGUUGAACCCCUACAGGCUACAAAACGGUGUUGCUGAUUAAUAUGAACCUGAGGAGAGUUCUAGCUAGCAAAAUGCUUGAGGAACAUUUACGGUGAAAAGGUGAUUAUGAUGUUUUCGUGACUUCACAACCUAUAUUUUGACCUGUUAACUUUUGAUAUAGAGUGAUUCAUUGGACUGAUUAUGAGCAUCUGUGUACCUGAUUUUGCUAUUGAAUCUUCAGUAAUCGUGUCAUCUUCAUGUUUUCCCUUUUGCAUAUGCAGACCUACCCAACACUUGUGUUGUUACAACUAGCUUUCCAAAGUCUUGGUGUGGUGUUUAGGAUUUAGACACAUCACCUUUAUAUCUCUACAGGCAGGCAAUUCUCAGUGAUAAAGGACUUGGAUGAUCAGUGUGCACUUACAUUGUACUACAGGAGGCGCUGCAACAACGAGGAACAAGAGUAAGACCAUGAUCGUGGACACCAAGCCCCCACACACGCCGUCCCUCGUAUUCAUGUUGGAUCGUGUGAUGAGGAGUCUGGAUCGUUCUAAGAAAAGGCGAGCAUAACCGGUGGCGGCCUGUGUAUUCGGAUGGCUUUAUAUAAGACGUUAGCUGUGCAAUCAAUCAAUAAUCAUGAUUUUGUUCCUUUGU